UAACAAGGUAGCCGUACCGGAAGGUGUGGCUGGAUCACCUCCUUUAAAGGGAGACCAACAAGAGCAGCAGGAAAAAAAACUAUACUACUGUUGUAUCUAGAAUCCCUGGUCGAGCAAGGAAGAAAAGCAGGUUUUAACUUUCAAACUAGAGUUAUGGUUCGUAUAUGGGCUAUUAGCUCAGGUGGUUAGAGCGCACCCCUGAUAAGGGUGAGGUCCCUGGUUCAAGUCCAGGAUAGCCCAUCUAAUCAAACAGGGGGGUAUAGCUCAGUUGGUAGAGCGCUGCCUUUGCAAGGCAGAAGUCAGCGGUUCGAGUCCGCUUACCUCCAGGAAAAAAACCAGAACUCAGCAAUCAGACCUGAAAAAAAUCAAGUCAGACUGCUGGGAAUCUAAAUCCCAGUGAGAACCUAGAAAACUGCAUAGUCAAAGAAGUAAAAAGUAACUGAAAAGGAGUUAGAUAUAAUCUAACUUGUCCAGUCAGGUAGAAA
Molecule: transfer RNA, 485 nt
Filed under: Okeania sp. 1504-15
Lineage: Bacteria; Bacillati; Cyanobacteriota; Cyanophyceae; Oscillatoriales; Microcoleaceae
Description: partial contains 16S ribosomal RNA, 16S-23S ribosomal RNA intergenic spacer, and 23S ribosomal RNA
Rfam family: tRNA (bases 254-326)
Source: RNAcentral